AUGCAGUUCCUCGCGGCUUCAGCCCCCUCGUCCGCCGCGCCGCGGCUCCAGCCCUCCGCCCGCCUCCUCCGCCUCUCGAAGCCCCAUCCCUUCGCGCACCUCCGCCGCCGCUGCGCUCCCCACCUCCCAUCCAAGCCGCUGCCCCUGGCAUCCGUGUCUCCGGUCCCACCCCCACGGGCACGGCGCUCCCUGGCCUUCACGCCCCGCGCCCACAGCAACCACCACGGGCACCAUGGGCACGGGCACGGGCACCGCCAUUGCCACCACGGGGCGAAUGUGCAUGGGGGAGGCGGGGGCGCGACGGUCAUGCGGUUGGCGAGGGCGUCGGGUGGGCCGACGUCGCCGACGCGCUGCGGGAUCACCUGCAGGUCUGCUGCAUCUCCCUCGGUCUCCUCCUGA
RNAcentral lists this ribosomal RNA (399 nucleotides) under Triticum aestivum (bread wheat). RNAcentral's name for it is "partial small subunit ribosomal RNA". Lineage: Eukaryota; Viridiplantae; Streptophyta; Magnoliopsida; Poales; Poaceae. The record is from RNAcentral.